Nematostella vectensis (starlet sea anemone) is the source of this 72-nucleotide non-coding RNA. Lineage: Eukaryota; Metazoa; Cnidaria; Anthozoa; Actiniaria; Edwardsiidae. The record is from the annotation of a RefSeq genome assembly.
GUCAGGAUGGCCGAGCGGUCUAAGGCGCCAGUCUCAAGAAUUGAGGCGUGGGUUCGAAUCCCACUUCUGACA